Molecule: ribosomal RNA, 468 nt
Filed under: uncultured bacterium
Lineage: Bacteria
Description: partial 16S ribosomal RNA
Rfam family: Bacterial small subunit ribosomal RNA
Source: RNAcentral
GACGAACGCUGGCGGCGUGCUUAACACAUGCAAGUCGAACGGAAAGGCCCUGCUUGUGUGGGGUGCUCGAGUGGCGAACGGGUGAGUAACACGUGAGUAACCUGCCCUUGACUUUGGGAUAACUUCAGGAAACUGGGGCUACUACCGGAUAGGAGCUCCUGCUGCAUGGUGGGGGUUGGAAAUUUUCGGCGGCUGGGGAUGGACUCGCGGCUUAUCAGCUUGUUGGUGGGGUAGUGGCUUACCAAGGCUGUGGCGGGUAGCCGGCCUGGGAGGGUGACCGGCCACAUUGGGACUGAGAUACGGCCCAGACUCCUACGGGAGGCAGCAGUGGGGAGUAUUGCACAAUGGGCGGAAGCCUGAUGCAGAAACGCCGCGUGCGGGAUGACGGCCUUCGGGUUGUAAACCGCUUUCGCCUGUGACGAAGCGUGAGUGACGGUAAUGGGUAAAGAAGCACCGGCUAACUACGUG